GUGAGGAAUAUUGGACAAUGGGCGCAAGUCUGAUCCAGCCAUGCCGCGUGCAGGAAGACGCAUCUAUGGUGUGUCAACUGCUUUUGUACGGGAAGAAACACUCCCACGUGAGGGAGCUUGACGGUACCGUAAGAAUAAGGAUCGGCUAACUCCGUGCCAGCAGCCGCGGUAAUACGGAGGAUCCAAGCGUUAUCCGGAAUCAUUGGGUUUAAAGGGUCCGUAGGCGGUUUAAUAAGUCAGUGGUGAAAGCCCAUCGCUCAACGAUGGAACGGCCAUUGAUACUGUUAGACUUGAAUUACAAGGAAGUAACUAGAAUAUGUAGUGUAGCGGUGAAAUGCUUAGAUAUUACAUGGAAUACCAAUUGCGAAGGCAGGUUACUACUUGUGGAUUGACGCUGAUGGACGAAAGCGUGGGGAGCGAACAGGAUUAGAUACCCUGGUAGUCC
This 445-nucleotide ribosomal RNA is filed under the name uncultured bacterium. Its description in RNAcentral is "partial 16S ribosomal RNA". It matches the Rfam family "Bacterial small subunit ribosomal RNA", at positions 354 to 796 of the family's 1533-position model. The record is from RNAcentral.